AGUGAACGCUGGCGGUAGGCCUAACACAUGCAAGUCGAACGGCAGCACAGUAAGAGCUUGCUCUUACGGGUGGCGAGUGGCGGGCGGGUGAGGAAUACAUCGGAAUCUACUUUUUCGUGGGGGAUAACGUAGGGAAACUUACGCUAAUACAGCAUACGACCUACGGGUGAAAGCAGGGGAUCUUCGGACCUUGCGCGGUUGAAUGAGCCGAUGUCGGAUUAGCUAGUUGGCGGGGUAAAGGCCCACCAAGGCGACGAUCCGUAGCUGGUCUGAGAGGAUGAUCAGCCACACUGGAACUGAGACACGGUCCAGACUCCUACGGGAGGCAGCAGUGGGGAAUAUUGGACAAUGGGCGCAAGCCUGAUCCAGCCAUACCGCGUGGGUGAAGAAGGCCUUCGGGUUGUAAAGCCCUUUUGUUGGGAAAGAAAAGCAGCAGGUUAAUACCCCGCUGUUCUGACGGUACCCAAAGAAUAAGCACCGGCUAACUUCGUG
RNAcentral lists this ribosomal RNA (492 nucleotides) under uncultured bacterium. RNAcentral's name for it is "partial 16S ribosomal RNA". It matches the Rfam family "Bacterial small subunit ribosomal RNA", at positions 29 to 507 of the family's 1533-position model. The record is from RNAcentral.